AUAUAAGCGCGCGUCCCCUCCUCGUCCUCCCUCCUCCGCCUCUCACUCUCUCUCCCCUCUUCCCCUCCACCCCCACCUCCGUUUCUCCGGCCGCCUCCCUACCUCCUCCACCCCGGGCGCGAGAGAUUUCCACACACAAAAAAAAAAUCCCCCCAAUCCUCAGCACCCGCCGGCCUCCAGGGGUCCAGGGGAUCCGUCGCCCGCCUGCCCACCCGCCUCCUCAGCGCGGCUCCUGGAUCCGCCAUUCCCGGUUCCGCGGCCGGUUUUCCUGUCCCGGCUGCGCCUCUUCUUGGCUGGGCCUGCGCUGUCUCGCCCCGCUAUUGGCUCGCGCCUUGCUGGCUCGCCGUUACCGGAUCUCGAGAGCCAGGUCCGCCCCCGCGCGCGAUGGGGCUCGAUCAGCUCGGAGCCUAGGGGGCGCGGGCGCCAUUCGCUCGCCAUUUGUGGAGGGAAGCCAUUUUCUUCCGGUCCGUUUCAUCCUUUU
Molecule: long non-coding RNA, 481 nt
Filed under: Setaria italica (foxtail millet)
Lineage: Eukaryota; Viridiplantae; Streptophyta; Magnoliopsida; Poales; Poaceae
Description: long non-coding RNA (SITA_LNC006575)
Source: RNAcentral